This 1416-nucleotide small RNA is filed under the name Oryza sativa Japonica Group (Japanese rice). RNAcentral's name for it is "sRNA Os01g0544325". Lineage: Eukaryota; Viridiplantae; Streptophyta; Magnoliopsida; Poales; Poaceae. The record is from RNAcentral.
GGUACAAGCAGUAGCUUUUCCUUUAGCUGCACUGACAACCCGAACGCUUCAGCCAUAUCAAUGCCAUCUUUAUCUAUGGCUGCUUCAGCUGAAACAUCCCAGUCAAAAUGGUACAGAAGGUUUGCUAGGAUGAUCUCCAUGCUCGCAGAAGCAAAGUUUAUUCCAGGACAGAUCCGCCGCUUGCGCCAAACGGCAAGAACUGGAAGUCUGUCCCUAUGAAGUCUACGUUCGCGGCACUUCCACCAUCAACAAACCUCUCAGGCAAAAACUCCUCUGCAGCUUCCCAAGAUUCAGAGUUCCUUCCAAUAGCCCAUGCAUUGACGAUGACACGUGUCCCCGAGCGAACUGUGUAGCCAUCAAUAUCACAGUCAGCCAUCGCGAGAUGUGGGACGAGAAGAGGACUUGGUGGAUGCAACCGAAGUGUCUCCUUGAUGACAGCCUUGAGGUAGGUCAUGUUGGUCUGAUCACAUUCAGUGAUCAAUUCUCGUCCCUACUUGGGUAUGUUCGUUCUUAGUUCGGCCUGCAACUUGGCCAUGAGAUGUGGCUUCUGCAUAAGCUCGGCCAUGGCGAAUACUAGCACCACUGAUGUCGUCUCCAAAACUGCUUUAAUUACUCACUACUAGAAUUGCUUUAAGGUGAUCUCUGGUGAUGCCUCGCUCUUGAAGGAGCAAAACAUCUACGAAGUCCAUCUCAUCUUGAUCAUCAUUGCCUCUAUCAUGCUCACAUGGUUGUUUGCUCAUACGAUCAUUGAUAAUCUCGUCGAGCAAUUCAUCCCACAACUUCCUCGUGUUCCUGGCCUUGGCACACAUCACCCACGACACAGCUUUGAGCCUUGCCAAGCCUGGGUAGUAGUCCUCUAGGUUAAACCCUGCGAGGAGUACAUAAUUUGCUUUGAACAGUUGACGGAACAUUUUGUUUCGACCUUUGUCCCCUUGGAAGUUCUUCCCCGACACAAGGCGGCAUAUGAGGUCAUUCGAGUAGGUGCUGAAGAGCUCAAACAUGUCCACUCCCAUACCCUUGGUGGAUAACUCAUGGACUUUGAUAAUCAUGUACCUCCUCUUCUCGUGCUACAUGGUACGACCGCACCUUCUUGUUGGUCAGCAGGUGCGUUGUGACGAUCCUCCUGCUCCGCCGCCACUGCUCGCCGUAAGGCGAAAGCCCGACAUCGGACGGGCCGUAGAGGAGUAUGUCGCCGAUUAAAGAGUGUGGCCGUGACGCAAAGACAUGGUCAUGCGUGCGCAAGACAGCCUCUGCGGCGUGUGGGGAGGAGACGACGAGGUUCUGGACCUGGCCGAGGUGGAGGAGCAUGAGGUUGGGGCCGUACCGAUGAGCGAGCUCACGAAGAGAGACGUGCGGGAGGUCACCGAUGAGGUGCAGGUGCCCUAUGAUGGGUAACCUCGGAGGUGAAGGUGGGGA